AUGCUGUGAUGGACCUAGCUAUUUGUCUGACUUGGUAUUGUUGCCCUGACUCUGACCAAGAAAUGACCUCCAUUUUAAUCUUCUCUCUGAGCAU
Small nucleolar RNA from Syngnathus acus (greater pipefish), 94 nucleotides. RefSeq annotates it as Z30 small nucleolar RNA. The record is from RefSeq and is a predicted model, not a curated record. NCBI's taxonomy places the organism in Eukaryota, Metazoa, Chordata, Actinopteri, Syngnathiformes, Syngnathidae. The transcript has a single exon.